Molecule: ribosomal RNA, 494 nt
Filed under: uncultured bacterium
Lineage: Bacteria
Description: partial 16S ribosomal RNA
Rfam family: Bacterial small subunit ribosomal RNA
Source: RNAcentral
ACGCACGCUGGCGGCGUGCCUAAUACAUGCAAGUAGAACGCUGAAGGAGGAGCUUGCUUCUCUGGAUGAGUUGCGAACGGGUGAGUAACGCGUAGGUAACCUGCCUGGUAGCGGGGGAUAACUAUUGGAAACGAUAGCUAAUACCGCAUAAUAGCAGUUGUUGCAUGACAACUGUUUGAAGGGUGCAAUUGCACCACUACCAGAUGGACCUGCGUUGUAUUAGCUAGUUGGUGGGGUAACGGCUCACCAAGGCGACGAUACAUAGCCGACCUGAGAGGGUGAUCGGCCACACUGGGACUGAGACACGGCCCAGACUCCUACGGGAGGCAGCAGUAGGGAAUCUUCGGCAAUGGACGGAAGUCUGACCGAGCAACGCCGCGUGAGUGAAGAAGGUUUUCGGAUCGUAAAGCUCUGUUGUAAGAGAAGAACGAGUGUGAGAGUGGAAAGUUCACACUGUGACGGUAUCUUACCAGAAAGGGACGGCUAACUACGUG